RNAcentral lists this small nuclear RNA (19 nucleotides) under Arabidopsis thaliana (thale cress). RNAcentral describes it as "snRNA_13935". The record is from RNAcentral. Lineage: Eukaryota; Viridiplantae; Streptophyta; Magnoliopsida; Brassicales; Brassicaceae.
GUCACAAUUGUGUUACGCG